UGAUCACAGGGGGAUAUUUGUCCUUCCUUGGUGGAAUUAACGUAUUGUUGGUAUUCAUGUCUUUCGAUAUUGCAGGGUCUCAUGUUCCAUCUUCGUUAGAUAUUUCUUCCAUUGACAUUUGAUGGUAGUUUUUGGUUAGAGGCCAGUUCUUGGGAUGUCCCGAUCUGUCUGAUAAUUCAACUUUUGUCCCUCCUUCUGAUUGUGGUCUAUCUGCCCCACAUGUGGCUGGGUUUACCACUGGCUUUGGUCCGGAGGACCCUGCCCCUCCUGGGCCUGCUGAUGGCAUUGUUCGGUGCACUUCCUCUACACAUUCCGUUGCAGGCACUCCUUUUGUUUUUCCUGCAUGGGCCGCUCUUCACUGACUCUUCACUGCCGUAGAGUAUUCCGAGGCCUUCCUUUUGGCUUCCAAUUGCUCUUCAGUGCUGAAAUAGUAGAUUUAUUGAAACCUGGCUGGCUUGGUCGUUCAUACCAUGGCGGUCCCCACCAAGUUUGUUGUGUACGGUACCUGAUGUCCAUGGAUAGAUUGGGACUACAAAAGCUAGCAACAAAUUCUAAGGGGUGUGCUUCAGCUUAUAUUUACCAUGCUUACAAGUAUGCUCACAUCAUUUUUCCAUGAUAUCGACCACCUCGCUGUGCAACGGAGACCGCAGCUGCGUAGUCUGUUUCCAGAUUUUUUGCCGCUCUGACCCUUUUGCUCUACUCGCAUGAAAUAAGCAGAUGAAUUCACGAAGAUUGACAGCACAUGGGAUUGUGGAAAUUGAUGCAUGUGUCCUGAACAACGAGGGUUCAUGGAGAGAAAAACACAGUUCUGUCAUGAAGCAAUUAUACUCUUCGCCUUCUUGAGGCCUUAUUAGUUCACAACAGAUUUCUCUACGCAUGGAUAUUUUCCAUGUAUAUGCUCAUGGAACCAGCACUGCCUAUCUUAGUCUUCAGUUCAGUCAGAUGUAUGCUAGACAUCUCUCAUAGGAACGUGCAGCUCCAUUUUCAGAUCAGACCAACAAGCAGAGAGCAACCCUACAUGGAAGUGUCCGUUUCUCAUCAAUUGAACAUAACAAGAUGUACCGAAUAAUCACAUAAUGCUGGCGCAGCGUGCCGUCGCGAACACCAGUGCCACAAGGCCUUGCGAAGGUCCACAUUAUCUGAGGCACAGAUAUUAGUUCACACACUGCACUACGCCUUCUGUAAUGAGAGCCAUAGGCACACAUAGUUUGUAUAAUAUGUUUUCUUUGACUAUGUAUUACCUGUUGCUUGAUUUUUUCCAGUGCUGAAUAUA
Lolium rigidum is the source of this 1273-nucleotide long non-coding RNA. RefSeq lists it as uncharacterized. The transcript has 7 exons. Lineage: Eukaryota; Viridiplantae; Streptophyta; Magnoliopsida; Poales; Poaceae. The record is from RefSeq and is a predicted model, not a curated record.